Small nuclear RNA from Meriones unguiculatus (Mongolian gerbil), 104 nucleotides. Lineage: Eukaryota; Metazoa; Chordata; Mammalia; Rodentia; Muridae. The record is from Ensembl.
GUGCUCGCCUUGGCAGCACAUGUACUAAUAUUGGAACGAUACAAAGAUUAGCAUGGCUCCUGCACAAGGAUGACAUGCAAAUUUGUGAAGCGUUCCAUAUUUUU